CAGCCGCCGCGGGAAUACGUAGGGUGCGAGCGUUAAUCGGAAUUACUGGGCGUAAAGCGUGCGCAGGCGGUUUUGUAAGACAGGCGUGAAAUCCCCGGGCUCAACCUGGGAAUGGCGCUUGUGACUGCAAAGCUAGAGUGCGGCAGAGGGGGAUGGAAUUCCGCGUGUAGCAGUGAAAUGCGUAGAUAUGCGGAGGAACACCGAUGGCGAAGGCGAUCCCCUGGGCCUGCACUGACGCUCAUGCACGAAAGCGUGGGGAGCAAACAGGAUUAGAUACCCCAGUAGUCCCUGUCUCUUAUAC
RNAcentral lists this ribosomal RNA (301 nucleotides) under uncultured bacterium. RNAcentral describes it as "partial 16S ribosomal RNA". It matches the Rfam family "Bacterial small subunit ribosomal RNA", at positions 509 to 807 of the family's 1533-position model. The record is from RNAcentral.